RNAcentral lists this ribosomal RNA (319 nucleotides) under uncultured Prevotella sp. RNAcentral's name for it is "partial 16S ribosomal RNA". Lineage: Bacteria; Pseudomonadati; Bacteroidota; Bacteroidia; Bacteroidales; Prevotellaceae. The record is from RNAcentral.
GGAGUCUGGUCCGUGUCUCAGUACCAGUGUGGGGGACCUUCCUCUCAGAACCCCGACUGAUCGAUGGCUCGGUGGGCCGUUACCCCGCCGACUGCCUAAUCAGACGCAUCCCCAUCCAUGAGCGAUGAAUCUUUCGUGACAUAAAGAUGCCGAAAUGCCACAUAUAGUGAAUUAAUCCGACUUUCGCCGGGCUAUGCACUACUCAUGGGAAGGUUGGAUACGCGUUACUCACCCGUGCGCCGGUCGCCAUCAGAAGUUGCAAGCAACUCCCAUGAUGCCCCUCGACUUGCAUGUGUUAAGCCUGUAGCUAGCGUUCAUC